This 497-nucleotide ribosomal RNA is filed under the name uncultured bacterium. Its description in RNAcentral is "partial 16S ribosomal RNA". It matches the Rfam family "Bacterial small subunit ribosomal RNA", at positions 28 to 507 of the family's 1533-position model. The record is from RNAcentral.
GAUGAACGCUGGCGGCGUGCCUAAUACAUGCAAGUCGAGCGAACAGACGAGGAGCUUGCUCCUCUGACGUUAGCGGCGGACGGGUGAGUAACACGUGGAUAACCUACCUAUAAGACUGGGAUAACUUCGGGAAACCGGAGCUAAUACCGGAUAAUAUAUUGAACCGCAUGGUUCAAUAGUGAAAGACGGUUUUGCUGUCACUUAUAGAUGGAUCCGCCCCGCAUUAGCUAGUUGGUAAGGUAACGGCUUACCAAGGCAACGAUGCGUAGCCGACCUGAGAGGGUGAUCGGCCACACUGGAACUGAGACACGGUCCAGACUCCUACGGGAGGCAGCAGUAGGGAAUCUUCCGCAAUGGGCGAAAGCUUGACGGAGCAACGCCGCGUGAGUGAUGAAGGUCUUCGGAUCGUAAAACUCUGUUAUUAGGGAAGAACAAAUGUGUAAGUAACUAUGCACGUCUUGACGGUACCUAAUCAGAAAGCCACGGCUAACUACGUG